UCGGGAAUUUUGGGCAAUGGGGGAAACCCUGACCCAGCAACGCCGCGUGAAGGAUGAAGUAUUUCGGUAUGUAAACUUCGAAAGAAUAGGAAGAAUAAAUGACGGUACUAUUUAUAAGGUCCGGCUAACUACGUGCCAGCAGCCGCGGUAAUACGUAGGGACCAAGCGUUGUUCGGAUUUACUGGGCGUAAAGGGCGCGUAGGCGGCAUGACAAGUCACUUGUGAAAUCUCUGGGCUUAACCCAGAACGGCCAAGUGAUACUGUCGCGCUAGAGUGCAGAAGGGGCAAUCGGAAUUCUUGGUGUAGCGGUGAAAUGCGUAGAUAUCAAGAGGAACACCUGAGGUGAAGACGGGUUGCUGGGCUGACACUGACGCUGAGGUACGAAAGCGUGGGGAGCAAACAGGAUUAGAUACCCCAGUAGUCCCUGAGCGGGCUGGCAAGGCGCAU
RNAcentral lists this ribosomal RNA (447 nucleotides) under uncultured bacterium. RNAcentral describes it as "bacterial SSU rRNA". It matches the Rfam family "Bacterial small subunit ribosomal RNA", at positions 355 to 825 of the family's 1533-position model. The record is from RNAcentral.